This 1104-nucleotide long non-coding RNA is filed under the name Pogona vitticeps (central bearded dragon). RNAcentral describes it as "lncRNA (ENSPVIG00000013539.1)". The record is from RNAcentral. Lineage: Eukaryota; Metazoa; Chordata; Lepidosauria; Squamata; Agamidae.
AUGCAGUGAGGAAUCCAUGCCAGAAAACAGCGGGUGGCCAUUUUGAAACCGCCGAUCAGCUGUGCGAAAAUCAUCGCUUUGCGAUGAUCGGUUACCGAAACGGGACCAAUCAUCGCAAAGCGAAAUUCCCCCAUAGGGAACAUUGUUUUGCGAUCGCUUUUGUGAUCGCAAAAACAUCGACGUAAAGCGAUUUCAUCGUCAAAUGGAGCAAUCGUAAUGCGAGGCACCACUGUAAUUGUUUCUGCCUUACCUUUCCCAGACACAAUGCAGUCCACUGACAUUCAGUUCAAGUUCCUUGCUUGAAGUUUCUUAUAAAUUGUAGGAUUGUUAUACAAUGUUGGGCCAACUAGAUAUUUAAGAGCUGCCUGUUUCCAUACAUUGUUAAACUGUGCAUCUGCAUAUAAAAAGAUAGGGAAACAGUUCUAGCCUCUGUUCUGAACUACAUAGUACAUGCUUAGGAAAACAUGCCCUUGCUUUAUAAAAGAAAGCCACCACAAAAGGGAUCCAUUCCCAUUAGAAUUGUGCUGCAAGGAGAAGUGAGGUUUAAUCUUUCACUUGUAUGUGUUCUACCCUAGCUGCUCUUUGUUGCAAAUAAAUCUGAAUAAAAGCUUCAUUAGUUUAACAGUGAGUUUGCUUUUCUGAGUGAGAGUUGGACUGAGCAGAAUUUUUGGCUGAUUUACAACUGGUAGAUCUGCCUUGAAGAAGGAAACAGCUUUGGCAAAUGAAUGGAAGACUUAUGGCAGUGCAACCAGGCAAGGCACCAGAGGAAGAGUGAAAAGAAAAGGGGAAUUAUGUGGAGAUCCUUUGAGACAGUAAACAUAUGAAGAGAAGAAAGGAACAAUGCUUGUGGUUGGCCAGUGUGGCUUCAUGGGACAUGAUGGUGCUUGUGAAACAGAAAAGAUUCUGCAAUGUCCUCAGCAAUCUGAAGGGUCUCAGAGAGGAAUCUAUUGAUUUCUAAUCCACCAAGGAUUUCUCACAGUGAGCCUGAGCCAACACGUUGAUGAUCAUUAUUGCUGAAAUGUCUUGCUUUCUGCAACCACUUCCUGCUUAUGUGGUGCAAAUGUUUCUGAAUAAACAUAGUGAGAAAUAUUUGUACUGACUCCA